Capsicum annuum is the source of this 223-nucleotide long non-coding RNA. RefSeq lists it as uncharacterized. The record is from RefSeq and is a predicted model, not a curated record. The transcript has 3 exons. NCBI's taxonomy places the organism in Eukaryota, Viridiplantae, Streptophyta, Magnoliopsida, Solanales, Solanaceae.
AAAUUGGCAACAGAAUUCAACAAGAUUAAGAGUUCUAUUGCAAUUGAUCUGGAUAAGAGUUUGUAAGGUGCUCCUUCAUCAACUUCUACUUUUUGGACUCGAUCGACUUCUACUUUCUGGAUAAAGGCUGUUUUUUCAUUGAAAGGUGUUCUCAGGAAUAAAAGGACGGAAUUCCUACUCAUUUAGAGAUCAGUUUGUCCACUUCAAUGUCAGCAUUCCCACG